RNAcentral lists this ribosomal RNA (253 nucleotides) under uncultured bacterium. RNAcentral describes it as "partial 16S ribosomal RNA". It matches the Rfam family "Bacterial small subunit ribosomal RNA", at positions 524 to 776 of the family's 1533-position model. The record is from RNAcentral.
UACGGGGGGUGCAAGCGUUAUCCGGAUUCACUGGGUUUCAAGGGUGCGUAGGCGGGCAGGUAAGUCAUUGGUGAAAUCUCCUAGCUUAACUCGGAAACUGCCGUUGAUACUAUUUGUCUUGAAUACUGUGGAGGUAAGCGGAAUAUGUCAUGUAGCGGUGAAAUGCUUAGAUAUGACAUAGAACAACAAUUGCGAAGGCAGCUUACUACACAGCGAUUGACGCUGAGGCACGAAAGCGUGGGGAUCAAACAGG